GUGCCUAUGGUGUAGCGGUAACACAGCAGCUUGUGGAGCUGUUUUCUCCGGUUCGAAUCCGGAUAGGCACC
This 71-nucleotide transfer RNA is filed under the name Candidatus Nomurabacteria bacterium RIFCSPLOWO2_01_FULL_37_25. Its description in RNAcentral is "tRNA-His". It matches the Rfam family "tRNA". From Rfam's summary of the family: Transfer RNA (tRNA) molecules are approximately 80 nucleotides in length. The record is from RNAcentral. Lineage: Bacteria; Candidatus Nomuraibacteriota. RNAcentral also lists the same sequence under 1 other name.